UGCAGUCGACGGUAACAGGAAAUAGCUUGCUAUUUUGCUGACGAGUGGCGCACGGGUGCGUAACGCGUAUACAAUCUACCUUUUGCUGAGGGAUAGCCCAGAGAAAUUUGGAUUAAUACCUCAUGGUAUUAUUGAUAGGCAUCUAUUAAUAAUUAAAGGUUACGGCAAAAGAUGAGUAUGCGUCCCAUUAGCUAGUUGGUGAAGUAACGGUUCACCAAGGCAACGAUGGGUAGGGGUCCUGAGAGGGAGAUCCCCCACACUGGUACUGAGACACGGACCAGACUCCUACGGGAGGCAGCAGUGAGGAAUAUUGGACAAUGGGCGAGAGCCUGAUCCAGCCAUGCCGCGUGCAGGAAGACUGCCCUAUGGGUUGUAAACUGCUUUUAUACAGGAAGAAUAAGCCUUACGUGUAAGGUGAUGACGGUACUGUAAGAAUAAGGACCGGCUAACUCCGUGCCAGCAGCCGCGGUAAUACGGAGGGUCCGAGCGUUAUCCGGAAUUAUUGGGUUUAAAGGGUCCGUA
RNAcentral lists this ribosomal RNA (522 nucleotides) under uncultured bacterium. Its description in RNAcentral is "bacterial SSU rRNA". It matches the Rfam family "Bacterial small subunit ribosomal RNA", at positions 56 to 573 of the family's 1533-position model. The record is from RNAcentral.